Molecule: transfer RNA, 85 nt
Filed under: Pseudomonas sp. FGI182
Lineage: Bacteria; Pseudomonadati; Pseudomonadota; Gammaproteobacteria; Pseudomonadales; Pseudomonadaceae
Description: tRNA-Leu (TAA) (tRNA-Leu-TAA-1-1)
Rfam family: tRNA
About the family: Transfer RNA (tRNA) molecules are approximately 80 nucleotides in length. Their secondary structure includes four short double-helical elements and three loops (D, anti-codon, and T loops). Further hydrogen bonds mediate the characteristic L-shaped molecular structure. tRNAs have two regions of fundamental functional importance: the anti-codon, which is responsible for specific mRNA codon recognition, and the 3' end, to which the tRNAs corresponding amino acid is attached (by aminoacyl-tRNA synthetases). tRNAs cope with the degeneracy of the genetic code in two manners: having more than one tRNA (with a specific anti-codon) for a particular amino acid; and 'wobble' base-pairing, i.e. permitting non-standard base-pairing at the 3rd anti-codon position.
Source: RNAcentral
GCGAGUGUGGUGGAAUUGGUAUACACAGCAGACUUAAAAUCUGUCGGCGUAAGCCUUGCGGGUUCGAGUCCCGCCACUCGCACCA